GAUGAACGCUGGCGGCGUGCCUAAUACAUGCAAGUCGAGCGAACAGACGAGGAGCUUGCUCCUCUGACGUUAGCGGCGGACGGGUGAGUAACACGUGGAUAACCUACCUAUAAUACUGGGAUAACUUCGGGAAACCGGAGCUAAUACCGGAUAAUAUAUUGAACCGCAGGGAUCAAUAGUUAAAGACGGCUUUGCUGUUACUUAUAGAUGGAUCCGCGCCGCAUUAGCUAGUUGGUAAGGUAACGGCUUACCAAGGCGACGAUGCGUAGCCGACCUGAGAGGGUGAUCGGCCACACUGGAACUGAGACACGGUCCAGACUCCUACGGGAGGCAGCAGUAGGGAAUCUUCCGCAAUGGGCGAAAGCUUGACGGAGCAACGCCGCGUGAGUGAUGAAGGUCUUCGGAUCGUAAAACUCUGUUAUUAGGGAAGAACAAAUGUGUAAGUAACUAUGCACGUCUUGACGGUACCUAAUCAGAAAGCCACGGCUAACUACGUG
RNAcentral lists this ribosomal RNA (497 nucleotides) under uncultured bacterium. Its description in RNAcentral is "partial 16S ribosomal RNA". It matches the Rfam family "Bacterial small subunit ribosomal RNA", at positions 28 to 507 of the family's 1533-position model. The record is from RNAcentral.